CAUAGACCCAGCUGUCUUCCUCUCCCUGGCCAUCAGCCUCACCUGCACCCAGCUGUCUUCCUCUCCCUGGCCAUCAGCCUCGCCUAAACAAAAGUAGUGCACUAUAUAGGGAAUGCCAUUUGGAACACAGUUUCAACCAUGGUGGAAAUAGCAAACAUAUUAUGACUUUUGAAGUUAGCUAAGUCCCAUGGAAUGUGUUCUUCCAGGCUGCAUAGAGGACAAGAGGAGACAACAGUACAGGUUAUCUUUCAGGCUGCGUAGAGGACAAGAGGAGACAACAGUACAGGUUAUCUUUCAGGCUGCGUAGAGGACAAGAGGAGACAACAGUACAGGUUAUCUUUCAGGCUGCGUAGAGGACAAGAGGAGACAACAGUACAGGUUAUCUUUCAGGCUGCGUAGAGGACAAGAGGAGACAACAGUACAGGUUAUCUUUCAGGCUGCGUAGAGGACAAGAGGAGACAACAGUACAGGUUAUCUUUCAGGCUGCGUAGAGGACAAGAGGAGACAACAGUACAGGUUAUCUUUCAGGCUGCGUAGAGGACAAGAGGAGACAACAGUACAGGUUAUCUUUCAGGCUGCGUAGAGGACAAGAGGAGACAACAGUACAGGUUAUCUUUCAGGCUGCGUAGAGGACAAGAGGAGACAACAGUACAGGUUAUCUUUCAGGCUGCGUAGAGGACAAGAGGAGACAACAGUACAGGUUAUCUUUCAGGCUGCGUAGAGGACAAGAGGAGACAACAGUACAGGUUAUCUUUCAGGCUGCGUAGAGGACAAGAGGAGACAACAGUACAGGUUAUCUUUCAGGCUGCGUAGAGGACAAGAGGAGACAACAGUACAGGUUAUCUUUCAGGCUGCGUAGAGGACAAGAGGAGACAACAGUACAGGUUAUCUUUCAGGCUGCGUAGAGGACAAGAGGAGACAACAGUACAGGUUAUCUUUCAGGCUGCGUAGAGGACAAGAGGAGACAACAGUACAGGUUAUCUUUCAGGCUGCGUAGAGGACAAGAGGAGACAACAGUACAGGUUAUCUUUCAGGCUGCGUAGAGGACAAGAGGAGACAACAGUACAGGUUAUCUUUCAGGCUGCGUAGAGGACAAGAGGAGACAACAGUACAGGUUAUCUUUCAGGCUGCGUAGAGGACAAGAGGAGACAACAGUACAGGUUAUCUUUCAGGCUGCGUAGAGGACAAGAGGAGACAACAGUACAGGUUAUCUUUCAGGCUGCGUAGAGGACAAGAGGAGACAACAGUACAGGUUAUCUUUCAGGCUGCGUAGAGGACAAGAGGAGACAACAGUACAGGUUAUCUUUCAGGCUGCGUAGAGGACAAGAGGAGACAACAGUACAGGUUAUCUUUCAGGCUGCGUAGAGGACAAGAGGAGACAACAGUACAGGUUAUCUUUCAGGCUGCGUAGAGGACAAGAGGAGACAACAGUACAGGUUAUCUUUCAGGCUGCGUAGAGGACAAGAGGAGACAACAGUACAGGUUAUCUUUCAGGCUGCGUAGAGGACAAGAGGAGACAACAGUACAGGUUAUCUUUCAGGUUGCGUAGAGGACCAGGGGAGAGAACAGUACAGGUUAUCUUUCAGGCUGCGUAGACGACAAGAGGAGACAACAGUACAGGUUAUCUUUCAGGCUGCGUAGAGGACAAGAGGAGACAACAGUACAGUUAUCUUUCAGGCUGCGUAGAGGACAAGAGGAGACAACAGUACAGGUUAUCAAAACAUUUGCAAGCAUUUCUAAAAAACUGUUUUUGCUUUGCUA
Oncorhynchus keta (chum salmon) is the source of this 1761-nucleotide long non-coding RNA. RefSeq lists it as uncharacterized. NCBI's taxonomy places the organism in Eukaryota, Metazoa, Chordata, Actinopteri, Salmoniformes, Salmonidae. The transcript is spliced from 5 exons. The record is from RefSeq and is a predicted model, not a curated record.